RNAcentral lists this transfer RNA (73 nucleotides) under Paramuricea clavata. It matches the Rfam family "tRNA". Rfam says of the family: Transfer RNA (tRNA) molecules are approximately 80 nucleotides in length. Their secondary structure includes four short double-helical elements and three loops (D, anti-codon, and T loops). Lineage: Eukaryota; Metazoa; Cnidaria; Anthozoa; Malacalcyonacea; Plexauridae. The record is from Rfam by way of RNAcentral.
GUCUCUGUAGUUCAGUUGGUUAGAGCGCUGCACCGGAAUCGCAGGGCCGCAGGUUCAAUUCCUGCCAGGGACC